This is an RNA transcript of Musa acuminata AAA Group (dessert banana), 1549 nucleotides long. It is a transcript of the gene named peptidyl-prolyl cis-trans isomerase FKBP19, chloroplastic, with no coding region annotated. NCBI's taxonomy places the organism in Eukaryota, Viridiplantae, Streptophyta, Magnoliopsida, Zingiberales, Musaceae. The record is from RefSeq and is a predicted model, not a curated record. The transcript has 11 exons.
CCUCCCAACCCUUCCCUUGGUAUUCUGAUGCUUGUUCGAGCUGAACUGGUAAAUUCUCUGCCGUCCUUCUUGGCCGAUCCUGUGGCCGCUUCACCACCGCUCUCCGCUGCCUCCUUUUCGUGCUGGAUCUUGAGAACCUGAGCUCACCUUAUUGGGAGAGAGAACCCAUGGCGUUGUUGUCGUUGCCAUGGAGGAGGGGCAACAGAGCCAAAACUCGUCCUUUUUCGUAAUCCUCGAGCAAUGGUAACACAAAAGGCACAGAACAGACCCUCUAUCUCUUACAAGAACACCAGAAACGAAGGAUGCCUAAGGCCACUCGAUUUCUCCCUCUCUACAAUCCAAAUUCCUUGUAUUGGUCUUCCUUCUCCUUCCAGGAUAAUGUCUCUUUGGAAGCUUCUCUUCCAGGGAAUCUUCCCCUCUUCUCGCGUAAAGGUUGCUCCUUUCCCUCGAUCUCAUCGUUUUUACUCUAUCAGCAGAAAUUUGAGGGGGUUAGGGCAAGGCUUUGGGGGAGUUCGCUUGGGGUUCAGACGCUUCAAAUCCUUGGCAUCGUUGGCCAGGAGCAGCGGAGCUCAAUCACCGGACGGAAAGGAUAUCUGUCUGCUCCUCCUCCAAUUAUUACGAGGCGAUGGCAGAAUUGUCUUCUCAUGCCCCCUCGGCAACCCGUUAUCCUCUCUCGCGCCGUAGUGCCUCUCUCAUCUUCUUGUGGUCGGUUUAAGAUUUGGAUUCGAGAUGGCGUCGAUCUCGGCAGCGUGGAUCCUCCCGAACCCUUGGAGUUCGCCCAUCCCGAGAGCCCCCGAUCGCCUUACGCAUCACUUCAAGGGGUGCGGGAAGUCGAGGAUUGGGGGAGGAUUCAUCGGGGAAGCAGAUGGGAUCCCCGACGCAGAGGUCUCCAGCUCUCUUGAAGCAAAUAGAUCAAUAGUUACAAAAGGAACUUUUGAAAGAAGAAAACUACUUUUGGUCUCCUCUAUUGGGUUCACCACUGGUGCUUUCCAAAAUGCUCUAGAUAAUGGAGUGGCAGUAGCAGCAGAAUUUGCUGAUAUGCCAGCACUCCGUGGAAAGGAUUAUGGAAAGACAAAAAUGCGCUAUCCAGAUUAUAAUGAGACACAAUCCGGUCUUCAAUACAAGGAUUUGCGAGUUGGUGAUGGUCCCACACCGAAAACUGGGGACACAGUGGUGGUUGACUGGGAUGGUUAUACGAUAGGAUACUAUGGUCGCAUCUUUGAAGCUCGAAAUAAGACAAAGGGUGGUUCAUUUGAGGGAGAUGAUAAAGAUUUUUUCAAGUUCAAGGUUGGUUCAAGACAGGUUAUACCAGCUUUUGAGGAAGCCAUUGUUGGCAUGGCAGAGGGAGGUAUCAGGAGCAAUGCAGGAUAAUAGUGCCUCCGGAUUUGGGAUAUCCAGAUAGUGACUUCAACAAACUUGGUCCCAGACCAACGACUUUUUCGGGCCAAAGAGCUCUUGAUUUUGUCCUGAGGAACCAGGGCUUGAUCGACAAAACUCUACUGUUCGAUAUAGAGCUUCUUAAAAUCGUCAGGAACUAAGAUUUAUCGGG